Molecule: ribosomal RNA, 403 nt
Filed under: uncultured Exiguobacterium sp.
Lineage: Bacteria; Bacillati; Bacillota; Bacilli; Caryophanales
Description: bacterial SSU rRNA
Rfam family: Bacterial small subunit ribosomal RNA
Source: RNAcentral
ACAGGUGGUGCAUGGUUGUCGUCAGCUCGUGUCGUGAGAUGUUGGGUUAAGUCCCGCAACGAGCGCAACCCCUAUCCUUAGUUGCCAGCAUUGAGUUGGGCACUCUAGGGAGACUGCCGGUGACAAACCGGAGGAAGGUGGGGAUGACGUCAAAUCAUCAUGCCCCUUAUGAGUUGGGCUACACACGUGCUACAAUGGACGGUACAAAGGGCAGCGAGACCGCGAGGUGGAGCCAAUCCCAUAAAGCCGUUCCCAGUUCGGAUUGCAGGCUGCAACUCGCCUGCAUGAAGUCGGAAUCGCUAGUAAUCGCAGGUCAGCAUACUGCGGUGAAUACGUUCCCGGGUCUUGUACACACCGCCCGUCACACCACGAGAGUUUGCAACACCCGAAGCCGGUGAGUAAC